Molecule: ribosomal RNA, 234 nt
Filed under: Klebsiella quasipneumoniae subsp. similipneumoniae
Lineage: Bacteria; Pseudomonadati; Pseudomonadota; Gammaproteobacteria; Enterobacterales; Enterobacteriaceae
Description: partial 23S ribosomal RNA
Rfam family: Bacterial large subunit ribosomal RNA
Source: RNAcentral
GGGUUGUGAGGUUAAGCGACUAAGCGUACACGGUGGAUGCCCUGGCAGUCAGAGGCGAUGAAGGACGUGCUAAUCUGCGAAAAGCGUCGGUAAGGUGAUAUGAACCGUUACAGCCGGCGAUGUCCGAAUGGGGAAACCCAGUGCAAUUCGUUGCACUAUCGUUAACUGAAUACAUAGGUUAACGAGGCGAACCGGGGGAACUGAAACAUCUAAGUACCCCGAGGAAAAGAAAUC